UGGCCACCAGGGAGGAGCGACAUGAGAGCAGAGAACCCGGUGUCUCCACAGUUGAGGAAAUGAGUCCAUGGGGCUGGUCAGGGCUCUCGAUUUCAUUUUGACAUGAGAUGACUUUGUGUAGUCACCACCUGAGUCCUAUACAGUGAACAGCCAGGGAGCCAUGGACAGAUUCACCCCUGAGGAAUCCAGUAGAACGUGAAGUCUGGCCUGAGGUCAUGUACAAAAGACUCAGGGGGCUGCCUGGCCUGGCCCUGAUGGAGAGGGCCGUGGACAGAACAACCGGGAGGGAGGGGUGUCUCUGAGAGGCUCUGGUCACCUUGUCAUACAAUGGUGGUGUACAAUGUCACACAAUGGACACGAGGGGGCGCCAGCGUACUAUUCCUGAGAAGACUGGGUGUGAUGAGAGCAGGACCAGCGCCAAGUGUCCUGCUUGGUGCCCUAUGCUUAGGGCUCAUAGAUGUGAACUCUCCACCCCCUGGGACCACACGGCCCCACCCCUGCCACUCCCUGACAUUCUCAGGCAGAGGAGCUUGACCCAGGGCCCAGGGUGGGAUCAGAAAGCUGGAGGAUCUGAUUUGCAUGAAUAGAUCCUCCUUCUCUCAGAGUAUAAAGAGGGGCAGGGAGAGAUUUGGGGAAGCUCUGCCUCAGCUGUGAGCACAGAAGGCAGGACUCGGGACAAUCUUCAUCAUGACCUGGUCCCCUCUCCUCCUCACCCUUCUCAUUCACUGCACAGGGUCCUGGGCCCAGUCUGUGCUGACGCAGCCGCCCUCAGUGUCUGCGGCCCCAGGGCAGAGGGUCACCAUCUCCUGCUCUGGAAGCAGCUUCAACUUCAGGAGGUAUUAUGUGUCCUGGUACCAGCAGCUCCCAGGAGCAGCCACCAAGCUCCUCAUCUAUGAUGUUAAUAAGCGACCCUCAGGGGUCCCUGACCGAUUCUCUGGCUCCCAGUCUGGCACCUCAGCCACCCUGGGCAUCACUGGACUCUGGCCUGAGGAUGAGGCUGAUUAUUACUGCUUAGCAUGGAACAGCAGCCUGAGUGCUCGCACGGUGCUCCAGGCCAAUGGGGAACUGAGACAAGAACCCCCUUCCUCCUCUGCCAGGAGGGUGAGUGCCUGCAGCUGCUGCUCACGCCUGACCUGUAGCUUCUGCUGCUGCAGCUUCCCCCAUGGGCCUAGGGACAGCCAGGGCCCUCCUAGGAGUGGAGGCUCCACCACUUUUGUCCUCAGAGUCAGGAACAGGGACCCCAGGAAUCAGAACAUCCUGCUCCCACAGCUUGGAUCACAGGGUCUCUGCACUGAAAUCCUGGGCUGA
Cercocebus atys (sooty mangabey) is the source of this 1308-nucleotide non-coding RNA. The record is from the annotation of a RefSeq genome assembly. Lineage: Eukaryota; Metazoa; Chordata; Mammalia; Primates; Cercopithecidae.